UGGCGCACGGGUGCGUAACGCGUAACCAACCUACCGACAACUGGGGGAUAGCCCGCCGAAAGGCGGAUUAAUACCGCAUAUACCGGUAGCCUGGCAUCAGGUAACUGGGAAAGAUUUAUUGGUUGUCGAUGGGGUUGCGUAGCAUUAGCUAGAUGGCGGGGUAACGGCCCACCAUGGCGACGAUGCUUAGGGGACCUGAGAGGGUGAUCCCCCACACUGGCACUGAGAUACGGGCCAG
RNAcentral lists this ribosomal RNA (238 nucleotides) under uncultured Sphingobacteriales bacterium. Its description in RNAcentral is "partial 16S ribosomal RNA". It matches the Rfam family "Bacterial small subunit ribosomal RNA", at positions 96 to 334 of the family's 1533-position model. Lineage: Bacteria; Pseudomonadati; Bacteroidota; Sphingobacteriia; Sphingobacteriales. The record is from RNAcentral.